This 1389-nucleotide ribosomal RNA is filed under the name uncultured bacterium. Its description in RNAcentral is "16S ribosomal RNA". It matches the Rfam family "Bacterial small subunit ribosomal RNA". The record is from RNAcentral.
UUAGAGUUUGAUCCUGGCUCAGGAUGAACGCUUUCUACAGGCUUAACACAUGCAAGUCGAACGGGGAACGGAUUCGUCCGUUCCCAGUGGCAAACGGGUGAGUAACACGUAUCCAACCCCCCCGCGACACGGGGAUAGCCUUCUGAAAGGGAGAUUAAUACCCGGUACACUGUUUAUAGCGCAUGCUAUUUUCAAUAAAGUUCCGGCGGUCGCGGACGGGGAUGCCCUCCAUUAGAUAGUCGGCGGGGUAACGGCCCACCGAGUCUAUGAUGGAUAGGGGUUCUGAGAGGAAGGUCCCCCACAUUGGAACUGCGACACGGUCCAAACUCCUACGGGAGGCAGCAGUGAGGAAUAUUGGUCAAUGGGCGAAGGCCUGAACCAGCCAAGUAGCGUGAAGGAUGACAGCCCUAUGGGUUGUAAACUUCUUUUGGUCGGGAAUAACAGACACCACUUGUGGUGUUUUGCAUGUACCGGCCGAAUAAGGAUCGGCUAACUCCGUGCCAGCAGCCGCGGUAAUACGGAGGAUCCGAGCGUUAUCCGGAUUUAUUGGGUUUAAAGGGUGAGUAGGCGGUAGUAUAAGUCAGCGGUGAAAACUUGCAGCUCAACUGUAAGCUUGCCGUUGAAACUGUAUUACUUGAGUUAAGUUGAGGUAUGCGGAAUGUGGUGUGUAGCGGUGAAAUGCAUAGAUAUACCACAGAACGUCGAUUGCGAAGGCAGCAUACUAAGUUUAUACUGACGCUGAUGCACGAAAGCGUGGGGAUCAAACAGGAUUAGAUACCCUGGUAGUCCACGCCGUAAACUAUGAUUACUCGCUGUUUGCGAUAUACCGUAAGCGGCCAAGCGAAAGCAUUAAGUAAUCCACCUGGGGAGUACGUUCGCAAGAAUGAAACUCAAAGGAAUUGACGGGGGCCCGCACAAGCGGAGGAACAUGUGGUUUAAUUCGAUGAUACGCGGGGAACCUUACCCGGGCUUGAAAUGCAUCUGACAGACUCUGAAAGGGGUUUUCUAGCAAUAGCAGAUGUGUAGGUGCUGCAUGGUUGUCGUCAGCUCGUGCCGUGAGGUGUCGGCUUAAGUGCCAUAACGAGCGCAACCCUCAUCAUUAGUUGCUAACAGGUAAAGCUGAGGACUCUAAUGAGACUGCCACCGUAAGGUGUGAGGAAGGUGGGGAUGACGUCAAAUCAGCACGGCCCUUAUGUCCGGGGCGACACACGUGUUACAAUGGGGGGUACAACGGGCAGCUACCACGCGAGUGGAUGCUAAUCUCUAAAAUCCUCUCUCAGUUCGGAUCGGAGUCUGCAACUCGACUCUGUGAAGCUGGAUUCGCUAGUAAUCGCGCAUCAGCCAUGGCGCGGUGAAUACGUUCCCGGGCCUUGUACACACCGCCCGUCA